Molecule: ribosomal RNA, 751 nt
Filed under: uncultured Methanocalculus sp.
Lineage: Archaea; Methanobacteriati; Methanobacteriota; Methanomicrobia; Methanomicrobiales; Methanocalculaceae
Description: bacterial SSU rRNA
Rfam family: Archaeal small subunit ribosomal RNA
Source: RNAcentral
GGAUAAUCUGCCCUCAGGUGAGGAAUAAUCCCGGGAAACUGGGGCUAAUGCCUCAUAGGAGACGGGUGCUGGAAUGCUCUGUCUCCGAAAGGUCCGCCGCCUGAGGAUGAGUCUGCGUCCGAUUAGGUUGUUGUUGGGGUAACGGCCCAACAAGCCUUUGAUCGGUACGGGUUGUGGGAGCAAGAGCCCGGAGAUGGAUUCUGAGACAUGAAUCCAGGCCCUACGGGGCGCAGCAGGCGCGAAAACUUUACAAUGCGAGCAAUCGUGAUAAGGAAACCCUGAGUGCCUGUCAAUGCAGGCUGUUCUGGUGUCUAACACACACCAGGAGAAAGGGCGGGGCAAGACCGGUGCCAGCCGCCGCGGUAAUACCGGCUGCUCGAGUGAUAGCCACUUUUACUGGGCUUAAAGCGUUCGUAGCUUGGUCGUUAAGUCUCUGGGGAAAUCUUUUGGCUCAACCAAAAGGCGUCUCAGGGAAACUGACGAUCUUGGAACCGGGAGAGGUAAGACGUACUUCGGGGGUAGGAGUGAAAUCUUGUAAUCCCCGAGGGACGACCGAUGGCGAAGGCAUCUUACCAGAACGGCUUCGACAGUGAGGGACGAAAGCUGGGGAGCAAACCGGAUUAGAUACCCGGGUAGUCCCAGCCGUAAACGAUGUGCGUUAGGUGUGUCAGUGACCACGAGUCGCUGAGGUGCCGAAGGGAAACCGUGAAACGCACCGCCUGGGAAGUACGGUCGCAAGGCUGAAACUUAA